GCGGGCGCGGCGCAGGCCACGGCUGGCAGCCUCGUGACGCUGGGGACUCAGACAAACGGCUUCAGAUUCCCAAGCUGAAUGUCGGGAGUUCGAUCCUCCUCGCCCGCU
Molecule: transfer RNA, 108 nt
Filed under: Actinomycetota bacterium
Lineage: Bacteria; Bacillati; Actinomycetota
Description: Actinobacteria bacterium tRNA-Gly
Source: RNAcentral